Molecule: long non-coding RNA, 1713 nt
Filed under: Bemisia tabaci
Lineage: Eukaryota; Metazoa; Arthropoda; Insecta; Hemiptera; Aleyrodidae
Description: lncRNA ENSSSA3NGG000280
Source: RNAcentral
AGAGAAAAAGAGGAAAAGGGGAUAAAAGGUUCAUCUCAUGAGCUGUAUAUAUACAGGCGCACUUACCUCUUAUCCUCCUAUCUGUGUGCAACUCGUGUUUGAAAGAUGUCGCCGCUUACGUGGCGUGUGUCUUUAUCGUGUAGUGUUUUUUUGGCUGUCGCAAUUUCUGCGUCCGAGACCGGGAGCCGGAAUGACGACGAUUCCGGGUCCAUCUCCUUGGCCAUGAACCCGUCAACACCGGGCACCACCCCCGGCGGGGAAACGGACCAGGCCCUCCGCACGCGCGAUUGGGGCGACUGGGGCUUCCUGGCCGAGGCCCUGCAUUCCCUCGACAGUCUCGCGAUCAACAACCACGGCGAGAUCAACGGCGAUGGUAACGGAUCCAUCAUCUUCUCCGGUUCCCCGACCCGCAACGGACGGUCCUCCCCCGGGUCCCUCGACCUCGACGGCCUCGUUGUCAACAACAACGCCGAGUUCAACGGCGACGGUAACGGCUCAGUCAUUUUCACCGGUUCCCCGAGCCGCAACGGCCGGGCCUCUCCUGGGAGGCGCGGAUCUGGAGUCAUCAACAACUCCGGAACCUUCAACGGCAAUCAUAACGGCUCCGUCAUUCUCGGAGACUUUAACGUCAGCGAAACUAAGGUCAACCGCCAACCCACCCGCACGGACUCCUUCUCCAGAUCGCCCCGCAGGCGACGACGUGGCCCGUCAAGUACCUGGACCGUCUUUAAUAGCAAUAUUGACAAUAGCCCCGUGACACCCGAUGAUGAUAGCCAGGUAUGGGGAACGAUCAACUGGUCCGGCCCGUAUCUGGACGUCAACGGUAGUGGAGUCCGUGCCAAAGCUAUCGGUCCAGAAACUCAGAAAAUCUCGGUGAUCAACGGGAAGGAGGUGAGGAUAAACGGGAAGUCGGUCUGCCAGGACGUGAAGACCCUCAGCCAGGAGAGCACGUACCAGGUCAUGCCGGAUGGGUCUCUGUGGUACACGAACUUGAAGGUGGGACGGGCUAUGACUGAGGACGAGGAGGCGGAGUUCCAAGAGAAGGUCAAGGAGAAGGAGGAAGAAACGAAGGCUGCGCUUGAGGCCGCGGAGAAGAAGAGAGAGGAGGCGGCUAGACAGAGAGAGAUUGCACUUGCAGCUGCGGCAAAAGAGAGAGAGAUUGCGGCAAAAGAGAGAGAGAUUGCGGCGAGACAAAGGGAGGCUGCGGCGAGACAAAGGGCGGCUGCGGCAAGAGAGAGAGGCUGCGGCAAGAGAGAGAGAGGCUGCUUUUGCUGGAUGGAAUAGGCCGUGGAGCUCCAGGUCCAACAGCUGGAACAGUUGGUUUUGGUAGAUUUUUGCUCCAAGUCAAUCUUCAUCGAUCGCUGUUUGUUUCGUGGUUUCUGACUAUCACUCUAUUGAAGAGAAGUCAAAUGAGCAAUCCUGGGUAAAAAAGAAAGAAAAUAGAAUAAAUAUCUAAACACCUAAAGCAUAUGAAAUCAUAAUCUAUGGCCUCCUUAUUUUAAGUGUGUCCCAAAAGGUUUCCCUACUAAUAGGCUUUAUCAUAUUAGCACAUUCAGCAGAUAAUCCGUUUAUCACAUGACUUCAGAGUCGUCGAAAAAUGGCGUCAGGUAAUUUUUCCAAUCCUUUUUUAUGAUCUUUUGAUUUUGUUUGAAAUAUCGCAAAUUUUAAUGUCGAAUACAUUGGCGAGGCAUGAAUGAUCGGUUAACGAUAUCU